GCAAGUCGAGCGGCAGCGGGAAGUAGCUUGCUACUUUGCCGGCGAGCGGCGGACGGGUGAGUAAUGUCUGGGAAACUGCCUGAUGGAGGGGGAUAACUACUGGAAACGGUAGCUAAUACCGCAUGACCUCGAAAGAGCAAAGUGGGGGACCUUCGGGCCUCACGCCAUCGGAUGUGCCCAGAUGGGAUUAGCUAGUAGGUGAGGUAAUGGCUCACCUAGGCGACGAUCCCUAGCUGGUCUGAGAGGAUGACC
RNAcentral lists this ribosomal RNA (252 nucleotides) under uncultured bacterium. RNAcentral's name for it is "partial 16S ribosomal RNA". It matches the Rfam family "Bacterial small subunit ribosomal RNA", at positions 57 to 305 of the family's 1533-position model. The record is from RNAcentral.